AAAUCAUGUUGAGGGAAAAUUUGUAACAUCCCUUCGUAGCGUUCCCAAGCUUCAUAUAGCGACUCUCCACCGAGUUGUUGAAAGUUUUGGAUAUUCUUCUUCAAUUU
Molecule: small nucleolar RNA, 107 nt
Organism: Lactuca sativa (garden lettuce)
Lineage: Eukaryota; Viridiplantae; Streptophyta; Magnoliopsida; Asterales; Asteraceae
Source: RefSeq, a predicted model, not a curated record